GAUGAAGAACGCAGCGAAAUGCGAUAGGUAAUGUGAAUUGCAGAAUUCAGUGAAUCAUCGAGUCUUUGAACGCACAUUGCGCCCCCUGGUAUUCCGGGGGGCAUGCCUGUCCGAGCGUCAUUGCUGCCCUCAAGCACGGCUUGUGUGUUGGGCUUCCGUCCCUGGCAACGGGGACGGGCCCAAAAGGCAGUGGCGGCACCAUGUCUGGUCCUCGAGCGUAUGGGGCUUUGUCACCCGCUCCCGUAGGUCCAGCUGGCAGCUAGCCUCGCAACCAAUCUUUUUAACCAGGUUGACCUCGGAUCAGGUAGGGAUACCCGCUGAACUUAAGCAUAUCAAUAAGCGGAGGA
This 347-nucleotide unclassified non-coding RNA is filed under the name soil metagenome. RNAcentral describes it as "partial contains 5.8S ribosomal RNA, internal transcribed spacer 2, and large subunit ribosomal RNA". The stretch from base 1 to 120 matches the Rfam family "5.8S ribosomal RNA", at positions 35 to 154 of the family's 154-position model. The record is from RNAcentral.